AGGUCAUGUUGAGGGCAAUUCCUUAGCAAUCCAUUAUAUCUUUCGCAACCUUCAUAUAAAGAUUCACCAUCAUUUUAAUGGAAGUCUGCUAUUUUCUUCUUGAAUUU
Lactuca sativa (garden lettuce) is the source of this 107-nucleotide small nucleolar RNA. NCBI's taxonomy places the organism in Eukaryota, Viridiplantae, Streptophyta, Magnoliopsida, Asterales, Asteraceae. The record is from RefSeq and is a predicted model, not a curated record.